This 109-nucleotide ribosomal RNA is filed under the name Pteropus alecto (black flying fox). Lineage: Eukaryota; Metazoa; Chordata; Mammalia; Chiroptera; Pteropodidae. The record is from RNAcentral.
GUCUACGGCCAUACCACCCUGAUCCCGGCUGCUCUCCGAAGCUAAGCAGGGUCUGGCCUGGUUAGUACUUGGAUGAGAGACCACCUAGGAAGACCAGGUACUGUAGGCG